GUGGGGAAUUUCGGACAAUGGGCGCAAGCCUGAUCCAGCAAUGCCGCGUGUGUGAAGAAGGCCUUCGGGUUGUAAAGCACUUUUGGCAGGAAAGAAAUAGCGCGUGCUAAUACCAUGCGCGAAUGACGGUACCUGCAGAAUAAGCACCGGCUAACUACGUGCCAGCAGCCGCGGUAAGACGUAGGGUGCAAGCGUUAAUCGGAAUUACUGGGCGUAAAGCGUGCGCAGGCGGUUUUGUAAGACAGGUGUGAAAUCCCCGGGCUCAACCUGGGAACUGCACUUGUGACUGCAAGGCUAGAGUGUGUCAGAGGGAGGUGGAAUUCCGCGUGUAGCAGUGAAAUGCGUAGAGAUGCGGAGGAACACCGAUGGCGAAGGCAGCCUCCUGGGAUAACACUGACGCUCAGGCACGAAAGCGUGGGGAGCAAACAGGAUUAGAAACCCUUGUAGUCC
This 450-nucleotide ribosomal RNA is filed under the name uncultured bacterium. RNAcentral's name for it is "partial 16S ribosomal RNA". It matches the Rfam family "Bacterial small subunit ribosomal RNA", at positions 354 to 796 of the family's 1533-position model. The record is from RNAcentral.